UGGGGAAUUUUGCACAAUGGGGGAAACCCUGAUGCAGCGACGCCGCGUGCUUUAGAAGGCCCUCGGGUUGUAAAAAUCUUUUCUAUGGGAAGAAAAUGACAGUACCAUAGGAAUAAGGACCGGCUAAUUACGUGCCAGCAGCCGCGGUAAUACGUAAGGUCCGAGCGUUGUCCGGAAUCAUUGGGCGUAAAGGGUACGUAGGCGGGUAAGCAAGUUAGAAGUGAAAUCCUGUAGCUCAACUACAGUAAGCUUUUAAAACUGCUCAUCUUGAGAUAUGGAAGGGAGAGUGGAAUUCCUGGUGUAGCGGUGAAAUGCGCAAAUAUUAGGAGGAAUACCGGGGGCGAAGGCGACUUUCUGGCCAUAAUCUGACGCUGAGGUACGAAAGCGUGGGUAGCAAACAGG
This 402-nucleotide ribosomal RNA is filed under the name Bacteroidota bacterium. Its description in RNAcentral is "Bacteroidetes bacterium partial 16S ribosomal RNA". It matches the Rfam family "Bacterial small subunit ribosomal RNA", at positions 355 to 776 of the family's 1533-position model. Lineage: Bacteria; Pseudomonadati; Bacteroidota. The record is from RNAcentral.